GACGAACGCUGGCGGCGUGCUUAACACAUGCAAGUCGAACGGAAAGGCCCUGCUUUUGUGGGGUGCUCGAGUGGCGAACGGGUGAGUAACACGUGAGUAACCUGCCCUUGACUUUGGGAUAACUUCAGGAAACUGGGGCUAAUACCGGAUAGGAGCUCCUGCUGCAUGGUGGGGGUUGGAAAGUUUCGGCGGUUGGGGAUGGACUCGCGGCUUAUCAGCUUGUUGGUGGGGUAGUGGCUUACCAAGGCUUUGACGGGUAGCCGGCCUGAGAGGGUGACCGGGCACAAUGGGACUGAGAUACGGCCCAGACUCGUACGGGAGGCAGCAGGGGGGAAUAUUGCACAAUGGGCGCAAGCCGGAUGCAGCAACGCCGCGUGCGGGAUGACGGCCUUCGGGUUGUAAACCGCUUUCGCCUGUGACGAAGCGUGAGUGACGGUAAUGGAUAAAGAAGCACCGGCUAACUACGUG
Molecule: ribosomal RNA, 468 nt
Filed under: uncultured bacterium
Lineage: Bacteria
Description: partial 16S ribosomal RNA
Rfam family: Bacterial small subunit ribosomal RNA
Source: RNAcentral